UAAACAUUAGGUUAACUGAGCUGUCUACUGGGUUAUAAACAUUAGGUUAACUGAGCUGUCUGCUUUGUUAUAAACAUUAGGUUAACUGAGCUGUCUGCUGGGUUAUAAACAUUAGGUUAACUGAGCUGUCUACUGGGUGAUUAACAGCUAAACAUUAGGUUAACUGAGCUGUCUGCUGGGUUAUAAACAUUAGGUUAACUGAGCUGUCUACUGGGUGAUUAACAGCUAAACAUUAGGUUAACUGAGCUGUCUGCUCGGUUAUAAACAUUAGGUUAACUGAGAUGUCUACUGGGUCAUAAACAGCUAAACAUUAGGUUAACUGAGCUGUCUACUGGGUUAUAAACAUUAGGUUAACUGAGCUGUCUGCUUUGUUAUAAACAGCUAAACAUUAGAUUAACUGAGCUGUCUACUGGGUCAUAAACAGCUAAACAUUAGGUUAACUGAGCUGUCUACUGGGUCAUAAACAGCUAAACAUUAGGUUAACUGAGCUGUCUACUGGGUCAUAAACAGCUAAACAUUAGGUUAACUGAGCUGUCUACUGGGUCAUAAACAGCUAAACAUUAGGUUAACCGUACAAAGACAUACUGCUACUUGGUGAAUUCAUUUUUUUUUUAUAGUUAAACAUUUUAAAAAGUUAUCAGUUUUAGAUAAAACUAUACAAAAUAUAUUCAUGUCACCAAAUAAUUUAUUAAAACACACUGUUUUGUAAUGAAGGUCUACAUUAGCCUCAACAGCACUCUGUAGGGUAGCACCAUGCUGUAGCCGGAGGACAGCUAGCUUCUGUCCUCCUCUAUGUAGAUUGACUUUAAUACAAAACCUAGGAGGCUCGUGGUUCUCACCCCCUUCCAUAGACCUACAAAGUAAAUAUGACAACUUCCGAAGGACGCCCUCCAACCUAUCAGAGCUCUUGCGGAUUGAACUGACAUGUUGUCCGCCCAAUCAAAGGAUCAGAGAAUGAAUAUAUUACUGAAAGCAUAAGCUACAGCUAGCUAGCACUGCAGGAAAUAUAAUGUGUUGAGUAAUUGACUCAAAGAUAGAGAAAGACAAUAGUUGAACAGUUUAAUUUCUUCAAAAAUGAUGGAGAAGCAAGAGAGAGAGAGAGUUAGCUAUAUUUGAUUGUAUUUUUUAAAACUUUCACUUUCAUUUAGCUAGCAAAUGCAGCUAGCUAGUUUAGCCUACUCCAACACUCGGCUAAAACAGAGGGGGAUGUUAUGUUAGCUAGCUGGCUAUGGCUACCCAACAGAGGGGGAUGUUAUGUUAGCUAGCUGACUAUGGCUACCCAACAGAGGGGGAUGUUAUGUUAGCUAGCUGGCUGGCUAUGGCUACCCAACAGAGGGGGAUGUUAUGUUAGCUAGCUGGCUAUGGCUACCCAACAGAGGGGGAUGUUAUGUUAGCUAGCUGGCUGGCUAUGGCUACCCAACAGAGGGGGAUGUUAUGUUAGCUAGCUGGCUAUGGCUACCCAACAGAGGGGGAUGUUAUGUUAGCUAGCUGGCUAAGGCUAUCCAACACUGGAACACUUCCAAGUCAAGGUAAGCUUUUGGUUUUAUUCAUUUAUUGCCACCAGGGCCCUAUGGUGUAUCUGCUAAACUGCUUUCUGACUGUACACUGUACUGCAUGAUUGUAGUGGAUUUACUAACACGUUAGUUCUAGUGGCUAUGUUGACAAUAAUCACAUUUUAUUAGUCACAUACACAUUAUUAGCAUAUAUUCUAGAGAAAAUGUGUGGGCAGAACUGAAAAAGAGUGUGCGAGCAAGGAGGCCUACAAACCUGACUCAGCUACACCAGCUCUGCCAGGAGGAAUUGACCAAAAUUCACCCAACUUAUAGUGGGAAACUUGUGGAAGGCUACCCAAAACGUUUGACCCAAGUUAAACAAUUUAAAGGCAAUGCUACCAAAUACUAAUUGAGUUUAUGUAAACUUUUGACCCACUGGGAAUGUGAUGAAAGAAAUAAAAGCUGAAAUAAAUCACUCUACUAUUAUUCUGACAUUUCACAUUCUUAAAAUAAAGUUGUGAUCCUAACUCACCUAAGACAGGGAAUUUUUACUAGGAUUAAAUGUCAGGAAUUGUGAAAAACUGAGUUUAAAUGUAUUUGGCUAAGGUGUGUGUAAACUUCCAACUUGUGCGUGCCAACAACUGUAUCCCAGUCCGCGAUCAAAACAAUCUUGAAGCAUGGAUUCUGAUUGGCCAGACCAGCAUUGAACAGACGGUUAUUUCCUGUUUGAGUUUCUGCCUAUAGGAAGGGAGCAAAAUGGAGGUGUGAUCUGAUUUGCCAAAGGAAUGACGGUGGAGGGCCUUGUAUGCAUCCCGGAAGGGGGAGUAGCAGUGGUCGACCGUUCCGUUUUAGCAGCGUGUGUACUACAAUCAAUGUGUUGGUAGAACUUUGGUAGCGUUUUCCUCAAACUUGCUUUGUUAAAAUCCCCAGUUAUAAUAAAUGCAGUCUCGGGAUAUGUGGUUUCCAGUUUGCACAGUAUAGUUCCUUGGGGGCUGUUGUGGUAUCAGCUUGAGGGGGAACAUACACGGCCGUGACUGUAAACAAAGAGAAUUCUCUUAGGAGGUAAUACGGUCGGCAUUUGAUUGUGAGGUAUUCUAAGUCGGGUGAACAAAAGCAGUAGGGUAAAGUACUUAAGUAAAAAAUACUUUUUAAAGUACUACUUAAUUUGUUUUUUGGAGUAUCUGUAUUUAACUUUACUAUUUAUAUUUUUUACUACUUUUACUUUUACUCCACUACAUUCCUAAAGAAAAUAUUGUACUUUUUACUUAAUGUUUUCCCUGACACCCAAAAAUAUUUAUUACAUUUUGAAUGGUUAGCAGGACAGAAAAAUUGUCUAAUUCACACAAGAGAACAUCCCUGGUAAUCCCUACUGCCUCUGAUCUGGUGGACUCACCAAGUGUUGGAGCAUGCCCCUGGCUUUCUGUAAAUAAAAGAAAAAAUAAAAUUUUGCCACCUGGUUUGCUUCAUAUAAGCAAUUUGAAAAGAUGAAUACUUUACCUUUAACUUUU
Long non-coding RNA from Oncorhynchus tshawytscha (Chinook salmon), 3001 nucleotides. Lineage: Eukaryota; Metazoa; Chordata; Actinopteri; Salmoniformes; Salmonidae. The record is from Ensembl.